UUCCGGUUGAUCCUGCCGGAGGCUACCGCUAUUGGAGUUCGAUUAAGCCAUGCGAGUCGCGAGUCUUAGGGACUCGGCGUACCGCUCAGUAACACGUGGGUAACCUGCCCUAUGCUGGGGGAUAACCUCGGGAAACUGAGAAUAAUACCCCAUAGUUCACCACGCCUGGAACGGUGGGUGGAUCAAAGCUCCGGCGGCAUAGGAUGGGCCUGCGGCGUAUCAGGUUGUAGGGGGUGUAAUGUACCCUCUAGCCCUCUACGCGUACGGGUGUUGAGAGACAUCGCCCGGAGAUGGAUUCUGAGACACGAAUCCAGACCCUACGGGGUGCAGCAGGCGCGAAAACUUGGCAAUGCGAGAAAUCGUGACCAGGGAACUCCAAGUGCAUCGGGUAAGACCGAUGCUUUUCUUGACUCUUCAAAGGUCUUGGAAUAAGGGGUGGGUAAGGACGGUGCCAGCCGCCGCGGUAAUACCGGCGCCCCAAGUGGUAGUCGCUUUUAUUGGGCCUAAAACGUCCGUAGCCGGUCUGGUACAUUCGUGGGUAAAUCAACCAGCUCAACUGGUUGAAUUCUGCGAGCACGGCCAGACUUGGGACCGGGAGAGGUGUGGGGUACUCUCAGGGUAGGGGUAAAAUCCUGUCAUCCUGAGAGGACCACCUGUUGCGAAGGCGCCACACUAGAACGGAUCCGACGGUCAGGGACGAAGCCUAGGGGCACGAACCGGAUUAGAUACCCGGGUAGUCCUAGGUGUAAACGCUGUGGACUUGAUGUUGGGGGCGCUCCGAGCGCACUCAGUGUCGAAGCGAAGGUGAUAAGUCCACUGCCUGGGGAGUACGGUCGCAAGGCUGAAACUUAAAGGAAUUGGCGGGGGGGCACCGCAACCUGAGGAUUGUGCGGUUUAAUUGGAAUCAACGCCGGA
Molecule: ribosomal RNA, 915 nt
Filed under: uncultured archaeon
Lineage: Archaea
Description: bacterial SSU rRNA
Rfam family: Archaeal small subunit ribosomal RNA
Source: RNAcentral